This 307-nucleotide non-coding RNA is filed under the name Phascolarctos cinereus (koala). The record is from RNAcentral. Lineage: Eukaryota; Metazoa; Chordata; Mammalia; Diprotodontia; Phascolarctidae.
GCCAGGUAUGAUGGCACAUGCCUGCAAUCCCUGACGUUGAUGGAGGCUAAGGCUGGUGGAUCACUUGAGUCUAGGAGUUUUGAGGUUCAGUGAGGCUAAAGCUAAUUAGAUGUCUUCAUGAAGUCAGGCACCAAUCUGAUGAGCUACCAGGAAUAGAGGACUACCAGAAUUCCUAAAGAGGUGUCAUUUGGCACAUAACAGAAAAAUGUAGGAGGUUAAAGCGUUCAUGCUGAUCAAUCUUGGGAUUAGGCCUUAGAUAGCUGUUGUACUUCCAGCCUUCCAUGCAAUAUAGGGAGAUAAAGUCUCA